AGAACGAACGCUGGCGGCACGCUUAACACAUGCAAGUCGGACGCUUUUGGGGCUUCGGCCUCAAGGGAGUGGCGCACGGGUGAGUAGCGCGUGGGAACCUGCCCAGUAGUGGGGGAUAACCGAGGGAAACUUCGGCUAAUACCGCAUGCGCCCCGGGAGUGAUCUUGGGGGAAAGAUUUAUCGCUAUUGGAGGGGCCCGCGUCGGAUUAGCUAGUUGGUGGGUAACGGCCUACCAAGGCGAUGAUCCGUAGCUGGUCUGAGAGGAUGAUCAGCCACACUGGGACUGAGACACGGCCCAGACUCCUACGGGAGGCAGCAGUGGGGAAUAUUGGACAAUGGGCGCAAGCCUGAUCCAGCAAUGCCGCGUGAGUGAGGAAGGCCUUAGGGUUGUAAAGCUCUUUCGCACGCGACGAUGAUGACGGUAGCGUGAGAAGAAGCCCGGCUAACUUCGUGCCAGCAGCCGC
RNAcentral lists this ribosomal RNA (464 nucleotides) under uncultured soil bacterium. RNAcentral describes it as "bacterial SSU rRNA". It matches the Rfam family "Bacterial small subunit ribosomal RNA", at positions 26 to 518 of the family's 1533-position model. The record is from RNAcentral.